CUGGUACUGAGACACGGACCAGACUCCUACGGGAGGCAGCAGUGAGGAAUAUUGGUCAAUGGCCGGAAGGCUGAACCAGCCAUCCCGCGUGCAGGAUGACGGCCCUAUGGGUUGUAAACUGCUUUUGUACCUGAAGAAACCUGGUUACGUGUAACCAGUUGCCGGUAAGGUAUGAAUAAGCAUCGGCUAACUCCGUGCCAGCAGCCGCGGUAAUACGGAGGAUGCAAGCGUUAUCCGGAUUCAUUGGGUUUAAAGGGUGCGCAGGUGGGAAAAUAAGUCAGUGGUGAAAUACUGCCGCUUAACGGUAGAAUUGCCAUUGAUACUGUUUUUCUUGAGUAUGGUUGAGGUAGGUGGAAUGUGUUGUGUAGCGGUGAAAUGCAUAGAUAUGACACAGAACGCCGAUUGCGAAGGCAGCUUACUAAGCCAUUACUGACGCUGAGGCACGAAAGCGUGGGGAUCAAACAGGAUUAGAUACCCUGGUAGUCCACGCCGUAAACGAUGAUCACUCGCUGUUUGCGAUAUACAGCAAGCGGCUGAGCGAAAGCAUUAAGUGAUCCACCUGGGGAGUACGAUCGCAAGGGUUGAAACUCAAAGGAAUUGACGGGGGCCCGCACAAGCGGAGGAACAUGUGGUUUAAUUCGAUGAUACGCGAGGAAACUUUACCUGGCUUAAAUGUAGCUGCAUUCGGCUGAAGGCUGAUUCCCUUCGGGGCUGCUUACAGUGCUGCAUGGUUGUCGUCAGCUCGUGCCGUGAGGUGUCGGGUUAAGUCCAUACGAGCGCACCCUUAUCGUUAGUUGCCAGCGGGUAA
Molecule: ribosomal RNA, 808 nt
Filed under: uncultured bacterium
Lineage: Bacteria
Description: bacterial SSU rRNA
Rfam family: Bacterial small subunit ribosomal RNA
Source: RNAcentral